UACGUAGGGCGCAAGCGUUGUCCGGAAUUAUUGGGCGUAAAGAGCUCGUAGGCGGCUUGUCACGUCGGAUGUGAAAGCCCGAGGCUUAACCUCGGGUCUGCAUUCGAUACGGGCUAGCUAGAGUGUGGUAGGGGAGAUCGGAAUUCCUGGUGUAGCGGUGAAAUGCGCAGAUAUCUGGAGGAACACCGGUGGCGAAGGCGGCGUCCUGGACCAACACUGACACUGAGGAGCGAAAGCCAGGGGAGCAAACGGG
This 253-nucleotide ribosomal RNA is filed under the name uncultured bacterium. RNAcentral's name for it is "partial 16S ribosomal RNA". It matches the Rfam family "Bacterial small subunit ribosomal RNA", at positions 524 to 776 of the family's 1533-position model. The record is from RNAcentral.